RNAcentral lists this ribosomal RNA (508 nucleotides) under uncultured bacterium. Its description in RNAcentral is "bacterial SSU rRNA". It matches the Rfam family "Bacterial small subunit ribosomal RNA", at positions 1 to 507 of the family's 1533-position model. The record is from RNAcentral.
AGUCACGAGUUUGAUCCUGGCUCAGAUUGAACGCUGGCGGAAUGCUUUACACAUGCAAGUCGAACGGUAGAGGGGGCAACCCCUUGAGAGUGGCGAACGGGUGAGUAAUAUAUCGGAACGUGCCCAGUCGUGGGGGAUAACGUAGCGAAAGUUACGCUAAUACCGCAUACGAUCUAAGGAUGAAAGCGGGGGGACUCGCAAGAGCCUCGCGCGAUUGGAGCGGCCGAUAUCAGAUUAGGUAGUUGGUGGGGUAAAGGCUCACCAAGCCAACGAUCUGUAGCUGGUCUGAGAGGACGACCAGCCACACUGGAACUGAGACACGGUCCAGACUCCUACGGGAGGCAGCAGUGGGGAAUUUUGGACAAUGGACGCAAGUCUGAUCCAGCCAUUCCGCGUGCAGGAUGAAGGCCCUCGGGUUGUAAACUGCUUUUGUACGGAACGAAAAGGUUUCUAUUAAUACUAGGAGCUCAUGACGGUACCGUAAGAAUAAGCACCGGCUAACUACGUG